GGGAAUAUAGCUCAGUGGUAGAGUAUCUGUAUGGUAAACAUAUGGCCCUGGGUUUGAUCCCCAGUGUAUUAA
Molecule: transfer RNA, 72 nt
Filed under: Mesocricetus auratus (golden hamster)
Lineage: Eukaryota; Metazoa; Chordata; Mammalia; Rodentia; Cricetidae
Rfam family: tRNA
About the family: Transfer RNA (tRNA) molecules are approximately 80 nucleotides in length.
Source: Rfam by way of RNAcentral